UCCCUGAUGGUCCAGUGGUUAGGACACUGUGCUGUUGCUGCAGGGGACACUGGUUCAAUCCCUGGUCAGGGAA
This is a non-coding RNA of Delphinapterus leucas (beluga whale), 73 nucleotides long. Lineage: Eukaryota; Metazoa; Chordata; Mammalia; Artiodactyla; Monodontidae. The record is from the annotation of a RefSeq genome assembly.